This 394-nucleotide long non-coding RNA is filed under the name Lathyrus oleraceus (garden pea). RNAcentral describes it as "Pisum sativum (pea) long non-coding RNA (PSAT_LNC040389)". Lineage: Eukaryota; Viridiplantae; Streptophyta; Magnoliopsida; Fabales; Fabaceae. The record is from RNAcentral.
UUUGGAAGCCUAACUUGGAAGAAUACCAUUUGGAAGACCCCUUGGAUGAAGCUUGCAAAGCAAGGAAGUUGAGAUAGCUUUAGUUCGCGCCGCGAACCUCUUUCGCGCUGCGAAGGCUGCGAAUCCAGCAAGCUAUUUUUGGGCCAAGGGUGCUGUUUUUCAUGACCAACUGGUUUUGCCAUUUUGGUGUCUGCCUUGGGGGAGCUUUUCUGCCUUAGAUGAGAAAUGAUCAUUUUAGAAAAUGUCAACCCUUUUAGAAAAUCAGAAUGGAAAGUGAUAUUCAUUGUAACACAUUAACACAUUCAUAGAUACUUAGAGAUUUUGUAAGAGAGAAAAGCAGAGUUUUUCUUCCAUCGCAUUUUUGCUUUUGAAAAUGAUGAUGAGGAGCUAAACC